GAGGAGGAGUGUGGCAGCGGGAGGAGGUAGGGAACUGGUCUGUCUGCCCAAUAUAAAGGAUCACAACUGGAGGAGGAGGGUGGCAGCGGGAGGAGGUAGGGAACUGGUCUGUCUGCCCAAUAUAAAGGAUCAAAUCAAAUCAAAUCAAAUUUAUUUAUAUAGCCCUUCGUACAUCAGCUGAUAUCUCAAAGUGCUGUACAGAAACCCCGCCUAAAACCCCAAACAGCAAGCAAUGCAGGUGUAGAAGCACGGUGGCUAGGAAAAACUCCCUAGAAAGGCCAAAACCUAGGAAGAAACCUAGAGAGGAACCAGGCUAUGAGGGGUGGCCAGUCCUCUUCUGGCUGUGCCGAGUGGAGAUUAUAACAGAACAUGGCCAAGAUGUUCAAAUGUUCAUAAUUGACCAGCAUGGUCAAAUAAUAAUAAUCACAGAGUUGUCGAGGGUGCAGCAAGUCAGCACCUCAGGAGUAAAUGUCAGUUGGCUUUUCAUAGCCGAUCAUUAAGAGUAUCUCUACCACUCCUGCUGUCUCUAGAGAUUUGAAAACAGCAGGUCUGGGACAGCUAGCACGUCUGGUGAACAGGUCAGGAUUCCAUAGCGGCAGACAGAACAGUUGAAACUGGAGCAGCAGCACGGCCAGGUGGACUGGGGACAGCAAGGAGUCAUCAUGCCAGGUAUUCCUGAGGUAUGGUCCUAGGGCUCAGGUCCUCCGAGAGAGAGAGAGAGAAAGAAAGAGAGAAUUAGAGAGAACAUACUUAAAUUCACACAGGACACCGGAUAAGACAGGAGAAGUACUCCAGAUAUAACAAACUGACCCUAGCCCCCCCGACACAUAAACUACUGCAGCAUAAAUACUGGAGGCUGAGACAGGAGGGGUCAGGAGACACUGUGGCCCCAUCCGAGGACACCCCGGACAGCGCCAAACAGGAAGGAUAUAACCCCACCCACUUUGCCAAAGCACAGCCCCCACACCACUAGAGGGAUAGCUUCAACCACCAACUUAUCAUCCUGAGACAAGUUUGAGUAUAGCCCACAAAGAUCUCCGCCACGGCACAACCCAAGGGGGGGCGCUAACCCAGACAGGAAGAUCACAUCAGUGACUCAACCCACUCAAGUGACGCACCUCUCCUACGGACGGCAUGAAAGAGCACCAGUAAGCCAGUGACUCAGCCCCUGUAAUAGGGUUAGAGGCAGAGAAUCCCAGUGGAAAGAGGGGAACCGGCCAGGCAGAGACCGCAAGGGCGGUUCUUUGCUCCAGAGCCUUUCCGUUCCCCUUCACACUCCUGGGCCAGACUACACUCAAUCAUAUGACCCACUGAAGAGAUGAGUCUUUAGUAAAGACUUAAAGGUUGAGACCGAGUCUGC
Oncorhynchus tshawytscha (Chinook salmon) is the source of this 1360-nucleotide long non-coding RNA. Lineage: Eukaryota; Metazoa; Chordata; Actinopteri; Salmoniformes; Salmonidae. The record is from Ensembl.